UAUAAAGGUACAUGAAAUGACAAGAUCCAGCAAGACAUGCGAGCAGCCUUGAGGAGUGAGAAUGGCAGGGCUCCUCGCUAUAAUUCUCUCCAGGCAAUUUUCUUACCGUUUGUGCUGAAGCCUCCCUGAUGAAAGGAGUAAUGUGAUUUUUCCAUAACACAAAACUGCAGAAUGACGGCAUCAGAGCUCCAGGAGGUGCGGCUCCCGAACCCAUGACCUUCAGAGUGGGACGGCAGACCAGCAGCCCCCGACAAACCUGAUGGCCUCAGGUUUCCCCGGCCCCAGACCUGCUGGAUCAGCACCUGUGUUUUAACAAGGACUUCUGUUGUCGGUGUGUAUUUGUUCAUGAGCAGCCACAACACACAUAAAUCCUGCCGGCCAGGAUCCGCCACAAGUGACCUCUAAGUAAAACUCAGUUUAAAUUUCUUCUUUCAAAGACAGUGCAUACAAAAAAGUAACAACUGAAAUCCUACUUUGAGCACUCCAGAGGCAGAGCAGUGGUUCUAUUUCACACAUGUGGACACUGAGACUCAAGGAGGUGAAAUGAGCCCCCAGAAGAAAAGGAAGAACCAGAGUAGAGCAGAGGUCUCCUUCUGACUUGCAGUCCCCGCAGUGCUUGCUCCACAUCAUCGCACCCACCACAGUUGGCAAAGGGCACUUUCCUUCCGGACCAACUACCAUUAUGGAUAUUCUUCCUUUCCUGUGUUCUCUCUGUAAAAUCAGGAAGAUAAAAAUUACUUUCUAAAUUGAGUAAAAAUUAAAUAAGAACUGCAAGCUUCCGAGGCAGGUGCCUCGUUCAUCACUGAUCCCCAGGAACUGGCACUGCACCAAGCAUUUAAGAGGAAUGCAACAGCAUUUAUUAAAUGAAUGGGUAGAUGGGUAGGUGGAUAGAUGGACGAAUGGGUGACAGACCAUAGAGUAAGUGAAUAGAUGUAUAUUUUGAAAUUCAAAAAGUUGCUGGAUGCAUCAUCCUUGUGCCUCUUCUCUGCCUGGACAGCACUCACUGACUGUGGAAGAAAAGCACAAUUCUCUUUCAUGAUUAACCAAUAACUGACAGUUUAUCUGAAGUUUUAAUCCCUAUAAUGUUGACAUAAUAGUUUGUAAGGGUUUUUUAUUUUUAAUUAAAUUAAAUUAUUUGAUUAAUUAAUUUUUAUUUAUUUAUUAACAACCAUAAGCCGAGGUUAGUUCUCCAAAGUAGGCAGGAAAAAAAUCAUUUGACCCUAAAAUUCAUACUAAAAAAUAAAAGCUAGUAAUGUAUUUUUAGUUAAUUACUGUGCUUACGAAUUUUGAGUCAGAAUAACCACUAGGGCUAGUGGUGAUAGAGCCACACCUAUUAUUUCUGCUAAGUGCCAUCCUAAAUUAAACAUCACCUGUAUUAUUAUUUUUUAAGCUUAAUUAUUCCAGAGAGCAUAAAGAGCUGACAUUGUCCUGUGGACAUGAGAAACAUCUAUUUGCCCUUAUUAACUGUGCUGCUAAAUGCCAGGCUCCAAAAGCACUUUAUAAAUGUAGAAUCGCUAUGUUGUAUUCCUGAAAUAGAUUCUUUUAUGUCAACCAUGCUUGAAAUUUUUUUAAAAAGGAAACUGCCGCCACCACCGCCACCACCAAAAUACAUAUUAAAAAUGCCAUAUUCUUAGUAGUCAGGCCAAGUAAAUGGAAAAUGAAGUGUCAAAAAAAGAAACUGCACUGAGGCUUUCCUCUCACAGUGUGGUCUGUGGACCGGCAGCAGGGGGUUCUCUCAACCCACCGAAACCUACUUCGUUAGAAUUUGUGUCCUGACAAAAUCCCCAGAUGAUUCACAUGCAUUUAACAUUCGAGAACUUUCGUGAGAGACAGGUGCCAUCAUAGAAAGUCAGAAGUGGGGGCCUCACCUCCCCCCAGAAUUGGUGGUCAUUUAAGCCUGCCUGCUGAGAAGUUGGGCAUUUGGAAGACAAGAAGAGAGAAGCAGAAGUUAGAUACUUGGAGAUGGAGGUGGUAGCCUGGGUUCUUGAAUUUUCUGCACCAGGCUCCCUGAGAGCAAACUUUCCUUCAUUUUUUGGUCUUGGAUGUCCAGGUUUCUGGUUGUAUCCUUACCAUAAGCCUCCCUCUUUACAUUAGCUAGCUGGAGUGAGUGAACUAAAUCAUGUUUAAAAGGAAAUUAAAGUGAAUAUUUGAAGUCAUUUUGCAUGCCCUGUACAGGUAUUAUUUAUGAGCAAUUUACAUUUCCUGUUUUUUUUAAUAUCCAUUAAAUAAUACAUAGUCAGUAUUUUAAAAAUUAAUUGUUUAGAGGAAACCAAAGUAGAAAAGCCUUUUUCCCCCUCGGGCCUCACUCCCACUUCCCAGAGGUAACCAGUUAACAAUGUCUUGUGUAAGUAAUUAAUAUUUCAAUUAUUAU
Molecule: long non-coding RNA, 2371 nt
Organism: Artibeus jamaicensis (Jamaican fruit-eating bat)
Lineage: Eukaryota; Metazoa; Chordata; Mammalia; Chiroptera; Phyllostomidae
Exons: 6
Source: RefSeq, a predicted model, not a curated record